Molecule: ribosomal RNA, 253 nt
Filed under: uncultured prokaryote
Description: partial 16S ribosomal RNA
Rfam family: Bacterial small subunit ribosomal RNA
Source: RNAcentral
UACGUAGGGUGCGAGCGUUAAUCGGAAUUACUGGGCGUAAAGUGUGCGCAGGCGGCCGCGCAAGUCGAGUGUGAAAGCCCCGAGCUUAACUUGGGAACUGCGCUCGAAACUACGUGGCUGGAGUGUGGCAGAGGAAGGUGGAAUUCCACGUGUAGCGGUGAAAUGCGUAGAGAUGUGGAGGAAUACCGAUGGCGAAGGCAGCCUUCUGGCCUAACACUGACGCUGAGGUGCGAAAGCAUGGGGAGCAAACAGG